ACCUAGGAGAGCAAACCCCGAACAAUAAACCCGGGCAGGUGGAGGUCGUUAGCCGUGGUAGGCAAUUCACCUAGGAGAGCAAACUCUAAACAAACCCGGGCAGGUGGAGGUCGUUAGCCGUGGGAGGCAAUUCACCUAGGAGAGCAAACUCUAAACAAACCCGGGCAGGUGGGGCUCGUUAGCCGUGGUAGGCAAUUCACCUAGGAGAGCAAACUCCGAACAACAAACCCGGGCAGGUGGAGGUCGUUAGCCGUGGUUGGCAAUUCACCUAGGAGAGCAAACUCUAAACAAACCCGGGCAGGUGGAGGUCGUUAGCCGUGGUAGGCAGUUCACCUAGGAGAGGAAACUCUAAACAAACCCGGGCAGGUGGGGCUCGUUAGCCGUGGUAGGCAAUUCACCUAGGAGAGCAAACUCCGAACAACAAACCCGGGCAGGUGGAGCUCGUUAGCGUGAGCAUUUUACCUAGGAGAGCAAACUCCGAACAAUAAACCCGGCCAGGUGGAGGUCGUCAGCCGUGGUAGGCAGUUCACCUAGGAGAGCAAACUCCGAACAAUAAACCCGGGCAGGUGGAGGUCGUCAGCCGUGGUAGGCAAUCUGCCUAGGAGAGCAAACUCCGAACAAUAAACCCGGCCAGGUGGUGGUCGUCAGCCGUGGUAGGCAAUCUGCCUAGGAGAGCAAACUCCGAACAAUAAACCCGGCCAGGUGGAGGUCGUCAGUCGUGGUAGGCAAUCUGCCUAGGAGAGCAAACUCCGAACAAUAAACCCGGCCAGGUGGAGGUCGUCAGCCGUGGUAGGCAAUCUGCCUAGGAGAGCACACUCCGAACAAUAAACCCGGGCAGGUGGAGGUCGUCAGCCGUGGUAGGCAAUCUGCCUAGGAGAGCAAACUCUAAACAAACCCGGGUUUGUGGUGCUCGUUAUACUGUCGUAGACAAUCCACGCGAUGGGAACACCAAAGAAAAGGAAAAUAAAAAGGAACACCAGAAAAAUGGAAAAUACAGAAACGAAACAUCAAGAAACAAAAAGAUCAUCCACCUUUAGGCCCUAACAUCGCCAAAAUUAUGGAUGGGUCUCUUCUGGGGAGAAAGCGGCUCAUCCAGACCAAAGAACAUCAACCAAAGGAUGAUAUGAAUAAAUGAAAUAAAAAAACAAAGAAAAA
Long non-coding RNA from Eriocheir sinensis (Chinese mitten crab), 1155 nucleotides. RefSeq lists it as uncharacterized. The record is from RefSeq and is a predicted model, not a curated record. Lineage: Eukaryota; Metazoa; Arthropoda; Malacostraca; Decapoda; Varunidae. The transcript is spliced from 4 exons.